AGUGAACGCUGGCGGUAGGCCUAACACAUGCAAGUCGAACGGCAGCACAGUAAGAGCUUGCUCUUACGGGUGGCGAGUGGCGGACGGGUGAGGAAUACUUCGGAAUCUACUUUUUCGUGGGGGAUAACGUAGGGAAACUUACGCUAAUACCGCAUACGACCUACGGGUGAAAGCAGGGGAUCUUCGGACCUUGCGCGAUUGAAUGAGCCGAUGUCGGAUUAGCUAGUUGGCGGGGUAAAGGCCCACCAAGGCGACGAUCCGUAGCUGGUCUGAGAGGAUGAUCAGCCACACUGGAACUGAGACACGGGCCAGACUCCUACGGGAGGCAGCAGUGGGGAAUAUUGGACAAUGGGCGCAAGCCUGAUCCAGCCAUACCGCGUGGGUGAAGAAGGCCUUCGGGUUGUAAAGCCCUUUUGUUGGGAAAGAAAAGCAGCAGGUUAAUACCCCGCUGUUCUGACGGUACCCAAAGAAUAAGCACCGGCUAACUUCGUG
Molecule: ribosomal RNA, 492 nt
Filed under: uncultured bacterium
Lineage: Bacteria
Description: partial 16S ribosomal RNA
Rfam family: Bacterial small subunit ribosomal RNA
Source: RNAcentral